Molecule: unclassified non-coding RNA, 534 nt
Filed under: Hevea brasiliensis (rubber tree)
Lineage: Eukaryota; Viridiplantae; Streptophyta; Magnoliopsida; Malpighiales; Euphorbiaceae
Source: RNAcentral
GAAAAUUGUUCAAAUUCCGAGAAACCUCAUCAGAUACAAAAUAUGUAAAGUAAGGUACUACUGGAUGAAUCCCUGAGUCUGUUGCUAAGCUUUGUAGAGCUUCUUUAAAGAGAAAGGGAUUAGAUCUAUUCACUGUAAGCUCUUUAAUUUUUUCAUAAUAGAGCUGAAGCUCACGCGAUAGGACAUGCUUAACAGGUACUUUAAUAUCAACAGGAACUCCAUCCUCCUUAUACUCGGUAUUUCUAUUAUCAGACGGCAUAGCUAAGACUUCAGGCAGAGGGUUUUCAGGAAUAGCAGGUUGUACUCCUUCUAUAGCUAACCAAUGGGCAACAACAGCAGCAUCUAGUGGUGCUUUCGGCAAAGGAGCUUCGAUCACAUCUUUGAAUUCUACAUCCUUCUCUUCAAUAUAGAACAAAUCCUUAUGCCCAGCAGCUCUCCUGAAUCGUAAGGGAUCUCCCGAAGCAAAACCAUAUAUUGGCUCCACAUUUCUCAAGGUGAGUGCAGAAUCAACAUCAUCAGUAGAUAAAGUAGUUC